Molecule: transfer RNA, 66 nt
Filed under: Lepidurus apus apus
Lineage: Eukaryota; Metazoa; Arthropoda; Branchiopoda; Notostraca; Triopsidae
Description: tRNA-Tyr
Rfam family: tRNA
About the family: Transfer RNA (tRNA) molecules are approximately 80 nucleotides in length. Their secondary structure includes four short double-helical elements and three loops (D, anti-codon, and T loops).
Source: RNAcentral
AAUAUAGUGGCUGAUAAAGGUGUUAGACUGUAAAUCUAAUUAUGAGUUUAAGAUACUCCUGUAUUA